GUGGCGAAGGCGGCUUAUUGGACGAUAACUGACGAUGAGGCUAGAAAGGGGGGGGAGCAAAAAGAAUUCGUUUCCCUGGUUGUCCGCGCCGUAAACGAAGAAUAAUAGGUGUUGGGAAGCAUUGCUUUUCGGUGCCGUCGCAAACGCAGUAAGUUAUUCCACCUGGGGAGUACGUUCGCAAGAAUGAAACUCAAAGGAAUUGACGGGGACCCGCACAAGCGGUGGAGCAUGUGGUUUAAUUUGAAGCAACGCGAAGAACCUUACCAAGUCUUGACAUCCUUCUGACCGGUACUUAACCGUACCUUCUCUUCGGAGCAGGAGUGACAGGUGGUGCAUGGUUGUCGUCAGCUCGUGUCGUGAGAUGUUGGGUUAAGUCCCGCAACGAGCGCAACCCUCAUCUUUAGUAGCCAGCGGUUCGGCCGGGCACUCUAGAGAGACUGCCAGGGAUAACCUGGAGGAAGGCGGGGAGGACGUCAAAUCAUCAUGCCCCCUAUGACUUGGGCUACACACGUGCUACAAUGGCGUAAACAAAGGGAAGAGAAGCUGUGAAGCCGAGCAAAUCUCAAAAAUAACGUCUCAGUUCGGACUGUAGUCUGCAACCCGACUACACGAAGCUGGAAUCGCUAGUAAUCGCAGAUCAGAAUGCUGCGGUGAAUAAAAUCCCGGGUCUUGCACA
RNAcentral lists this ribosomal RNA (676 nucleotides) under uncultured bacterium. Its description in RNAcentral is "bacterial SSU rRNA". It matches the Rfam family "Bacterial small subunit ribosomal RNA", at positions 712 to 1387 of the family's 1533-position model. The record is from RNAcentral.